Molecule: ribosomal RNA, 403 nt
Filed under: bacterium
Lineage: Bacteria
Description: partial 16S ribosomal RNA
Rfam family: Bacterial small subunit ribosomal RNA
Source: RNAcentral
UGGGGAAUAUUGCACAAUGGGGGAAACCCUGAUGCAGCGACGCCGCGUGAACGAAGAAGGUAUUCGUAUCGUAAAGUUCUGUCCUAUGGGAAGAUAAUGACAGUACCAUAGAAGAAAGCUCCGGCUAAAUACGUGCCAGCAGCCGCGGUAAUACGUAUGGAGCGAGCGUUGUCCGGAAUUAUUGGGCGUAAAGGGUACGCAGGCGGGUUAAUAAGUCGAAUGUUAAAGAUCGGGGCUCAACCCCGCAAAGCAUUGGAAACUGAUAAACUUGAGUAGUGGAGAGGAAAGUGAAAUUCCUAGUGUAGUGGUGAAAUACGUAGAUAUUAGGAGGAAUACCAGUAGCGAAGGCGACUUUCAGGACAAAAACAGACGCUGAGGUACGAAAGCGUAGGGAGCAAACAGG